ACCGUGGUUUUCUCUUGGUCUUAGAAAACCCUAAAUCCUUAUUUUUCCCGGUUUUACACGAAAAGAAAAUGAGAUCACGGAUUGCUAGUCACUUUUGGUUUAUUUCCUUAAACGUGUCUCACUGCGUCUCAGAUCUGACUCACUUCUUUGGGUUUUGUAUAUAUUCUGAAUCUUUUAAUUUUUUUGUUUCCACAUUUGGGAAGUUUAUUUUAUUUUUUAUCUUUACUCAUUUCGCUUUUGCUUCUUCUCUCUAAUUUCUGUUUCUCUGGGACAUAGAAAUUGACAGAAGAGAGUGAGCACACAGAGGCACUUGGUAUAAGUCUAUACUAUUGCUUUUGCGUGCUCACUUCUCUUUCUGUCAGAUUCCAGUGCCGGAGGAGGCCAAUUAAAAUAUUAUCAUCCCCUCCGUCCUGUCUUUUGUUCCGGAAUCUCUCUCUCUCUAAUAAUAUCUCUGCUCUUCUUCUUGGUUUUGUGGGACUUCCAACUUCAAGAGCAGCACAUCAGGAAAAUAGGGGCCGGAUUGAAUGGGUGAUGAAAAACAGUAUCUCGUCGUCUUUUUUCUUAUUUUGAAAUUCCACCAAUAAUUUUAUGUGCAAUUACAUAUAUUAUAGUUUUAAUUGUUGUAAGCGUGACUUUUGAUGGUGUUUUUCCAAGAAGGUACAGCUGUUUACCGUGCGGAUUGGGCGGUAAACCUUGUUAUAGCACGGGACCAUUCACGUUAUGUAGGAGUAGUAUGGUCCUCACAAACCUCUUUUAUCCUUCAUCCUUUCCAGCUUCUUGGUUAGAACUAUCAACAUCCUUGUGGCGCCGUUCCCCUAUUUAAUUCCUGCGCAUGCGUUUUUCACCCGAUCGAGAUUUGAUUCUUAUGAGGGUUUUUUCUCACCUGAACCAAGCCAGAGUUUGGUUGCUCGGUAUCUCCUUUCAGAUAUAUAUUAUUGUUCAUAUGGGGUUUGAAACCCUAUUGUUUCGGCACGAUUACAGGAGGGUUUUCUAGGUCUAAGUGAUCUAGCUUAAUCUUGUAACUUAAAUGCCUUACUAAUGGGUCUUUGGAGAAAAUAACUAAUCUCGAUAUGAUCUUUGAAACAAGUUUUUGCAUUUUUCAUCAUAUGUUGUGAUUUGAUGGGACGUGUUAUGCGUAGAACAGAUGUAAAACCUUUGGAUUAGGUCAUGGUAAUGAGAAUUUUACAGAAGAAGCCGUGUUGUUUCUUUGAGGUUUUGCAGGCCGGGGAGGAUAUUUUAAGGAUCCGUCAACUCAAAUGUCAUCAGGACCGAAAUCUUUCUCCGAAGAAAACUCGUCAAACAGGUUCUGUCCCGGUUUUGAGAAACAAAAUAAUAAUAAAGUAUGGGUGCAAUGGCAUGCAUAUAUAUAUAUAUAUAUAUAUAUGCAAUGAGCGACAAAUACCUGGAUGAGGAUACGUAGCAUGUGUGCGGAGGUGUUUAGAGGUUAUAACGAGAGAAAGCACAAUUAAGGGUUUGGAAGACAAUGGAAUUUCUUUUCUAAGCGCAAGAAGAUAUUUUUGCGCGCUUGGGAUUGCAUUUAAUUUAUUGCAAGAAGAUCAUAUUGUUUGUCUCGCUUCCACUAAUUAAAGAUGUGGAUUGCCUUAUAGGAAGAAACAAGCGGCGUGUUGAAUGCAUGGUUAAUGUCUUUCUGAUUAUGAAAAAGUGGCCGGCAGGAAAAUGUGAAAAUUGUUGCAAAUGCAUACAUAAAUUAACUCGGUGGGUAAUCAGCAAAAUGUGAAAAUUGUUGUAAAUGCAUACAUAAAUUUUGCACGUAGUUAAUCAUUUUGAUUCCAUCUCUUAGAAUUUUACCUCAUUCAUAUAUCAAUGUUUAGAAUUUUUAAAUUCGUCAAUGUAUUUUUUAAUUCAUUUAUUAUCCUUUCAUAUUGUUUAUUCUCAUGUGCCUAUAAAAGUUUGGUUAGAAAAGGUUGUCUUGAGUACAACCAUUUGCAACAACCAAGAAAUUAGAGGUAAAUGAUGUUGAGAUUUCUAAAAGCUAGUUUUAUAUAUCACGAUCUUUCAAUUUAAUUUCUUGAUACUUCUUUUUAAUUUUACAAUAGGAUUUCAGCAAUGAACUUUAGCUAAAUAUUGUUGUGUUCUUUUUAUAUUUGACAAGCUAUUUGUGUAACAUUUGUCGACUUUGGUAAGUUAAUUAGUCCUAUGUGAUAUUAUGUGGGUUUGAAUUUUAUCAUAUAAAUGCAAUGGGUAUUCUUCUUUUUC
Molecule: long non-coding RNA, 2217 nt
Organism: Carya illinoinensis
Lineage: Eukaryota; Viridiplantae; Streptophyta; Magnoliopsida; Fagales; Juglandaceae
Exons: 3
Source: RefSeq, a predicted model, not a curated record